Molecule: ribosomal RNA, 626 nt
Filed under: uncultured fungus
Lineage: Eukaryota; Fungi
Description: eukaryotic LSU rRNA
Rfam family: Eukaryotic large subunit ribosomal RNA
Source: RNAcentral
CCCGCUGAACUUAAGCAUAUCAAUAAGCGGAGGAAAAGAAACCAACAGGGAUUACCUCAGUAACGGCGAGUGAAGCGGUAACAGCUCAAAUUUGAAAUCUGGCCCUCUCAGGGUCCGAGUUGUAAUUUGUAGACGAUGCUUUGGGUGUGGUGCCGGUCUAAGUUCCUUGGAACAGGACGUCAUAGAGGGUGAGAAUCCCGUAUGUGGUCGGUCGCCUUCGCCCGUGUAAAGCUCGUUCGACGAGUCGAGUUGUUUGGGAAUGCGGCUCAAAAUGGGUGGUAAAUUUCAUCUAAAGCUAAAUAUUGGCCAGAGACCGAUAGCGCACAAGUAGAGUGAUCGAAAGAUGAAAAGCACUUUGGAAAGAGAGUUAAACAGUACGUGAAAUUGUUGAAAGGGAAGCGCUUGCAACCAGACUUGGGCGGUCGCAAUCAUCCGGGGCUCGCCCCGGUGCACUUGCGGCGGCACAGGCCAGCAUCAGUUUGGGUGGUGGGAUAAAGGCCUUGGGAAUGUAGCUUCCUUCGGGGAGUGUUAUAGCCCUCGGUGCAAUGCCGCCUACCCGGACUGAGGACCGCGCUUCGGCUAGGAUGCUGGCGUAAUGGUUGUAAGCGACCCGUCUUGAAACACGG